Molecule: long non-coding RNA, 1345 nt
Organism: Myripristis murdjan (pinecone soldierfish)
Lineage: Eukaryota; Metazoa; Chordata; Actinopteri; Holocentriformes; Holocentridae
Exons: 4
Source: RefSeq, a predicted model, not a curated record
CAACAGUGAGCGCGGUGCAUUGUGGGAACCGUAUUGACGGACCGGGGCGCAGACAGAGGCCGACGCUUGAUUGAGGUUGGUGUGAGUGCUGUGCAAAGGCAGUGUGAAACAAGCGCCGAUGCAGUACUGCCUCUUGGCCACAAGAUGGUGCACAAGACCUGCGAUUGAGAGGAAACAGAGGCAAAUGGCUUCAUCAGAGGAAAACCUGCACCAGCAACACUGGCAGUGAGACGUUUGCCAUUUUUGUGAUAAACUCCAGAGAUGGUAAAGUUUGGGUGGCGCUUUCCCAUGGCCCAGAACCGACAGAACAAACUCUUGGAGAGAGCUAAGAAAACACGGCAACAAAAACCCAAUGAUCCGCAGCACUCAGGGUACAAAUGAAAAAAAGAAAAGAAAAAAGAAGUAAUCAAGCAGCCUCUUAAGAGCCUAGAUCCACAAGACUGGAGGUUAGAGGUCCCAACAAGGAGUCCUGGAGUUGGUGCGGGUGUCCGUGCAUGCCGUGCACAGACUGUGGGGCACCCAGGCCGGACAUGGGGUAAGAGGAGGCCCCGGGGUGGCUCAUGUUGCCCUGGAGCAAAAGCACUGAGUUCUGGUCGGGGCUCUGAGGCGGAGAAAACUCGUCCUCCGAGCUGGACAUGAGAGACUUUCCUCCGUCCAACGGGGACAGCUGGUUCUGUUUGUUGCUGCCUGCGUUGUUGUUUUCACUGUUCUCUCUAGAAAUUACAAUAGGGAAAAUUUAGGCACAGCACCUACUUUGUAAAGUAUACCUUCCUAUUCCAUAAAUCAGUAAAUUAGAGCUACAUGAAACAUUUGGAGAUGAACAAGGCCUAUAAACAGUAUAAAAGACAGCCAUAUUUACUUUAGAAUAACAGCUAGAAUAACAACAGGCCUAAAGCAAAAACAAAUCUGAGAGGUUUAGCUCCUCGUCUUCUCUGCACUAAUUCACUGUAAUUCGUUUAUGUUUCUUUUUUGCCGAUUCGUAUGAGAAUCUGUAAAAAUGAGUACAUUUAUUGUCUGUGUUGUUUUCUUUUUUUUUUUUUUAAUCUAAUUUUGCUCAAAUUAACCUUCAUCACCUAUCAUCUCAGCAGCUCUGGGUUGUCCAAAAAUGGGACCACAUUAAGUCACUUUUUUGAGCUGGUCCUUCCGCAAAAAAUAUUUAAAUUACAGCUCUAUUUACAUUCUCUGAAGCUCCAUUUUGGUUUUCUUGCAGGGUUUAAGUUAUAAUUAAGGUUCAGAAGGCGAGUGGAUUAGUUUCUGAAGAGAGUUCAUCAACUGUCAACAAUAUGCUACUGUGUAACCACGGUACAGUCACUGUAACCAGGAGAGAGGCCUGUUUUGGUGAUAG